GACGUAGGGCGCGAGCGUUGUCCGGAUUUAUUGGGCGUAAAGAGCUCGUAGGCGGUUUGUUGCGUCAGCUGUGAAAACCCGCAGCUCAACUGUGGGCUUGCAGCUGAUACGGGCAGGCUUGAGUUCGGUAGGGGAGACUGGAAUUCCUGGUGUAGCGGUGAAAUGCGCAGAUAUCAGGAGGAACACCGGUGGCGAAGGCGGGUCUCUGGGCCGAUACUGACGCUGAGGAGCGAAAGCGUGGGGAGCGAACAGG
This 253-nucleotide ribosomal RNA is filed under the name uncultured bacterium. RNAcentral describes it as "partial 16S ribosomal RNA". It matches the Rfam family "Bacterial small subunit ribosomal RNA", at positions 524 to 776 of the family's 1533-position model. The record is from RNAcentral.